This 847-nucleotide ribosomal RNA is filed under the name uncultured bacterium. RNAcentral describes it as "bacterial SSU rRNA". It matches the Rfam family "Bacterial small subunit ribosomal RNA", at positions 59 to 862 of the family's 1533-position model. The record is from RNAcentral.
CAGUCGUACGCACUGGCCCACUGAUUGAUGGUGCUUGCACCUGAUUGACGUUGGAUCACCAGUGAGUGGCGGACGGGUGAGUAACACGUAGGUAACCUGCCCCGGAGCGGGGGAUAACAUUUGGAAACAGAUGCUAAUACCGCAUAACAACAAAAGCCACAUGGCUUUUGUUUGAAAGAUGGCUUUGGCUAUCACUCUGGGAUGGACCUGCGGUGCAUUAGCUAGUUGGUAAGGUAACGGCUUACCAAGGCGAUGAUGCAUAGCCGAGUUGAGAGACUGAUCGGCCACAAUGGAACUGAGACACGGUCCAUACUCCUACGGGAGGCAGCAGUAGGGAAUCUUCCACAAUGGGCGCAAGCCUGAUGGAGCAACACCGCGUGAGUGAAGAAGGGUUUCGGCUCGUAAAGCUCUGUUGUUGGAGAAGAACGUGCGUGAGAGUAACUGUUCACGUAGUGACGGUAUCCAACCAGAAAGUCACGGCUAACUACGUGCCAGCAGCCGCGGUAAUACGUAGGUGGCAAGCGUUAUCCGGAUUUAUUGGGCGUAAAGCGAGCGCAGGCGGUUGCUUAGGUCUGAUGUGAAAGCCUUCGGCUUAACCGAAGAAGUGCAUCGGAAACCGGGCGACUUGAGUGCAGAAGAGGACAGUGGAACUCCAUGUGUAGCGGUGGAAUGCGUAGAUAUAUGGAAGAACACCAGUGGCGAAGGCGGCUGUCUGGUCUGCAACUGACGCUGAGGCUCGAAAGCAUGGGUAGCGAACAGGAUUAGAUACCCUGGUAGUCCAUGCCGUANACGAUGAGUGCUAGGNGUUGGAGGGUUUCCGCCCUUCAGUGCCGGAGCUAACGCAUUA